RNAcentral lists this ribosomal RNA (493 nucleotides) under uncultured bacterium. RNAcentral's name for it is "partial 16S ribosomal RNA". It matches the Rfam family "Bacterial small subunit ribosomal RNA", at positions 30 to 523 of the family's 1533-position model. The record is from RNAcentral.
AUUGAACGCUGGCGGCAUGCUUUACACAUGCAAGUCGAACGGUAACAGGUUAAGCUGACGAGUGGCGAACGGGUGAGUAAUGCAUCGGAACGUGCCCGGUCGUGGGGGAUAACACUUCGAAAGAAGUGCUAAUACCGCAUACGAUCUGAGGAUGAAAGCGGGGGACCGUAAGGCCUCGCGCGAUCGGAGCGGCCGAUGUCAGAUUAGGUAGUUGGUGGGGUAAAGGCUCACCAAGCCGACGAUCUGUAGCUGGUCUGAGAGGACGACCAGCCACACGGGGACUGAGACACGGCUCAGACUCCUACGGGAGGCAGCAGUGGGGAAUUUUGGACAAUGGGCGCAAGCCUGAUCCAGCAAUGCCGCGUGCAGGAAGAAGGCCUUCGGGUUGUAAACUGCUUUUGUACGGAGCGAAAAGGCUCUCUCUAAUACAGGGGGCUCAUGACGGUACCGUAAGAAUAAGCACCGGCUAACUACGUGCCAGCCGCCGCCGUAA